AAAUUGAAGAGUUUGAUCAUGGCUCAGAUUGAACGCUGGCGGCAGGCCUAACACAUGCAAGUCGAACGGUAACAGGAAACAGCUUGCUGUUUCGCUGACGAGUGGCGGACGGGUGAGUAAUGUCUGGGAAAUUGCCUGAUGGAGGGGGAUAACUACUGGAAACGGUAGCUAAUACCGCAUAA
RNAcentral lists this ribosomal RNA (182 nucleotides) under Escherichia coli. RNAcentral's name for it is "partial 16S ribosomal RNA". It matches the Rfam family "Bacterial small subunit ribosomal RNA", at positions 1 to 176 of the family's 1533-position model. The record is from RNAcentral. Lineage: Bacteria; Pseudomonadati; Pseudomonadota; Gammaproteobacteria; Enterobacterales; Enterobacteriaceae.